RNAcentral lists this ribosomal RNA (465 nucleotides) under uncultured bacterium. Its description in RNAcentral is "partial 16S ribosomal RNA". It matches the Rfam family "Bacterial small subunit ribosomal RNA", at positions 338 to 795 of the family's 1533-position model. The record is from RNAcentral.
CCUACGGGAGGCAGCAGUAGGGAAUCUUCCACAAUGGGCGAAAGCCUGAUGGAGCAACGCCGCGUGGGUGAAGAAGGUCUUCGGAUCGUAAAACCCUGUUGUUAGAGAAGAAAGUGCGUGAGAGUAACUGUUCACGUUUCGACGGUAUCUAACCAGAAAGCCACGGCUAACUACGUGCCAGCAGCCGCGGUAAUACGUAGGUGGCAAGCGUUAUCCGGAUUUAUUGGGCGUAAAGGGAACGCAGGCGGUCUUUUAAGUCUGAUGUGAAAUCCUUCGGCUUAACCGGAGUAGUGCAUUGGAAACUGGGAGACUUGAGAGCAGAAGAGGAGAGUGGAACUCCAUGUGUAGCGGUGAAAUGCGUAGAUAUAUGGAAGAACACCAGUGGCGAAAGCGGCUCUCUGGUCUGUAACUGACGCUGAGGUUCGAAAGCGUGGGUAGCAAACAGGAUUAGAUACCCCAGUAGUC